RNAcentral lists this ribosomal RNA (486 nucleotides) under uncultured bacterium. RNAcentral's name for it is "partial 16S ribosomal RNA". It matches the Rfam family "Bacterial small subunit ribosomal RNA", at positions 30 to 507 of the family's 1533-position model. The record is from RNAcentral.
AUUGAACGCUGGCGACAUGCCUUACACAUGCAAGUCGAACGGCAGCACGGGUGCUUGCACCUGGUGGCGAGUGGCGAACGGGUGAGUAAUACAUCGGAACAUGUCCUGUAGUGGGGGAUAGCCCGGCGAAAGCCGGAUUAAUACCGCAUACGAUCUACGGAUGAAAGCGGGGGACCUUCGGGCCUCGCGCUAUAGGGUUGGCCGAUGGCUGAUUAGCUAGUUGGUGGGGUAAAGGCCUACCAAGGCGACGAUCAGUAGCUGGUCUGAGAGGCAGACCAGCCACACUGGGACUGAGACACGGCCCAGACUCCUACGGGAGGCAGCAGUGGGGAAUUUUGGACAAUGGGCGAAAGCCUGAUCCAGCAAUGCCGCGUGUGUGAAGAAGGCCUUCGGGUUGUAAAGCACUUUUGUCCGGAAAGAAAUCCUUGGCCCUAAUACGGUCGGGGGAUGACGGUACCGGAAGAAUAAGCACCGGCUAACUACGUG